This 722-nucleotide long non-coding RNA is filed under the name Lactuca sativa (garden lettuce). RNAcentral describes it as "long non-coding RNA (LSAT_LNC004002)". The record is from RNAcentral. Lineage: Eukaryota; Viridiplantae; Streptophyta; Magnoliopsida; Asterales; Asteraceae.
GCUGAUGCUCUAUCAUCUAUGAUCAACACAGAAGGAGAAUUUGAAGAUGGGAGUGAGACAGAAAGUCCUACACCUGAAGAGUUUUAUGAUACGGAAGAGUUUUUUAGUAAUUUAGUUGAUGAGCCAGAUGUGAAAGGGGAAUCUGAUGCCCUUUUACCUAAAGACCAUGAAUUGGAUGCUGAAAAUUAUGAUGUAGUUUUGGGAAACUCAAAGCAAAAAGGAAAGCCACCGGAAGCUUCUGUGAAUUCAAGAAUUGCAAAAGCGAAUGUGGUGUCAAGGUGGAUUCCUCCUAAUAAAGGAUCGUAUACAAAUUCAUUGCAUGUGUCUUAUCCACCAACGAGGUAUAAUAGCACGCCACCUGUCCUGACGCAAUUGGGGGAGAAAAAAUCAGGUGAAGGUGCAGGGAAUGGAUCAAAGAAAGAUGUUAAAGCGGGUGAAUCUUCACCUGUUCGGCGAUCUGGUAAGUCUCUGGGUUCUGGUGCCUUGAAAGAUCUUGUUGGAAUUUUGGAAGAGAAAUCAGUGAAGGUUACUACUCCACCUCCUACACCACUGCCGCCAGUAGCAAGCAGGGCUCCUCCACCACCACCACCUCCACCACCUAGCUCAUAUGACAUCUAUAUCGAUGAUGAAGUUGUGCCUGCUUCUCCGCCUUUGCCUCCUAAACAGGUUGCACCCCCACCUCCACCUCCACCCCCACCACCACCUCCAAUGUAUGCAGCNNN